This 478-nucleotide ribosomal RNA is filed under the name uncultured bacterium. RNAcentral's name for it is "partial 16S ribosomal RNA". It matches the Rfam family "Bacterial small subunit ribosomal RNA", at positions 28 to 507 of the family's 1533-position model. The record is from RNAcentral.
GAUGAACGCUGGCGGCGUGCUUAACACAUGCAAGUCGAACGGGAAACCUUUUAAUGAAGCUUCGGCAGAUUUCGCUGGUUUCUAGUGGCGGACGGGUGAGUAACGCGUGGGUAACCUGCCUUAUACAGGGGGAUAACAGUCAGAAAUGACUGCUAAUACCGCAUAAGCGCACAGGACCGCAUGGUCCGGUGUGAAAAACUCCGGUGGUAUAAGAUGGACCCGCGUUGGAUUAGAUUGUUGGUGGGGUAACGGCUCACCACGGCGACGAUCCAUAGCCGGCCUGUGAGGGUCAGCGGCCACACUGGGACUGAGCCACGGCCCAGACUCCUACGGGAUGCAGCAGUGGGGAAUAUUGCACAAUGGGGGGAACCCUGAUGCAGCGACGCCGCGUGAAGGAAGAAGUAUCUCGGUAUGUAAACUUCUAUCAGCAGGGAAGAUAGUGACGGUACCUGACGAGGAAGCCCCGGCUAACUACGUG